CUUGAGGAUCUAUGACACUGUUAUUCACAUCAAUCUCUUCUCCAGAUGAUCCAUUGAUAUCAGCUGCAUCACCAUAGGCCACUGACAAUGCGAAUGGAGCAUAAGCAUCUUGUCAUUAGAAUAAAAAAAUUUGUUAAUGCACGUCACAUCAAUUUUAUUUAAGAAACUGUUUUUGCUCCCAAAUUAAAUGGCUACUCAUUGACAUAAUCUAUAUCACAGAACAAAAAAUGUCAUAAUGAGCGUCCUCUCACUCAGGCUGAGAAGAAUAGCAUGUGAAAAGAUAUUAUUCACAAAAACAGUUUGAACUUCAGUCGGAAAUUUCGUUUGAUUUACGAAUUGAUGUCUCAAUAGCUGCAUCUUAAAUUUUCUCCCUCUUAGUAAUUAAAUAUCCACUAUUGGCAUUUAAACUUCUGUAGUUGUCCAUUCCACAAACUAUGGUUGAUAUUAAAGUGCGAGUCAAGAAAACAGUCAAAGUAGUUUGCUCACUCUAAUAUGGCAAUAUGAUCAGAUUUAUAAGCAAUCAUCUCCCUUCAAAUAUGGCCAACAUCAAAUCCUUCUAGAGCCCAAGCUUCCAAUUCUACUUCUUGUUUUGCACUUCAUCUAAGAGUUUGUUGUGUAAAAAAUUGCAUAAUAUCCAAUGGAACACCCAUGGACUUUAAGAGAACAGAUAACAAAUAGUUCAGAGUUAAAUUUUCUAGAAGAAGCAUCAAGGAUCCAUUUAGCUUACAAAAAAUAUUUACUUUCCCAUUUUUAAAAUGUUUUGCGUCCAAGAAAAAAACUGGUUCAUUGAAAAUGUUUUUCCAUACAAAUUAAACAAAGUUUAUAUAGAGAAGAAAAACUGGUUCAUUGAAAAUGUUUUUCCAUACAAAUUAAACGAAGUUUAUAUAGAGAAGAAUUCUUUUCUUUCUUAUAAGGGAAAUAUUUGCCACAAUUUAUGGCACAAUUCACCCAACCACCACCUACGCAGAGUAAUGCCACCAUAACUACCAAUUAUCUUAA
Molecule: long non-coding RNA, 999 nt
Filed under: Olea europaea subsp. europaea
Lineage: Eukaryota; Viridiplantae; Streptophyta; Magnoliopsida; Lamiales; Oleaceae
Source: RNAcentral